This 465-nucleotide ribosomal RNA is filed under the name uncultured bacterium. Its description in RNAcentral is "partial 16S ribosomal RNA". It matches the Rfam family "Bacterial small subunit ribosomal RNA", at positions 28 to 507 of the family's 1533-position model. The record is from RNAcentral.
GACGAACGCUGGCGGCGUGCUUAACACAUGCAAGUCGAACGGAAAGGCCCUGCUUGCAGGGUACUCGAGUGGCGAACGGGUGAGUAACACGUGGGUGAUCUGCCCUGCACUUCGGGAUAAGCCUGGGAAACUGGGUCUAAUACCGGAUAGGAGCCAUUUUUAGUGUGAUGGUUGGAAAGUUUUUUCGGUGUAGGAUGAGCUCGCGGCCUAUCAGCUUGUUGGUUGGGUAAUGGCCUACCAAGGCGGCGACGGGUAGCCGGCCUGAGAGGGUGGACGGCCACAUUGGGACUGAGAUACGGCCCAGACUCCUACGGGAGGCAGCAGUGGGGAAUCUUGCACAAUGGGCGCGAGCCUGAUGCAGCGACGCCGCGUGGGGGAUGACGGCCUUCGGGUUGUAAACUCCUUUCGCUAGGGACGGAGCUUUUUGUGACGGUACCUAGAGAAGAAGCACCGGCUAACUACGUG